CCUACGGGGGGCAGCAGUGAGGAAUAUUGGUCAAUGGACGGGAGUCUGAACCAGCCAAGUAGCGUGAAGGAUGACUGCCCUAUGGGUUGUAAACUUCUUUUAUAUGGGAAUAAAAUGUUCCACGUGUGGGCUUUUGUAUGUACCAUAUGAAUAAGGAUCGGCUAACUCCGUGCCAGCAGCCGCGGUAAUACGGAGGAUCCGAGCGUUAUCCGGAUUUAUUGGGUUUAAAGGGAGCGUAGGUGGAUUGUUAAGUCAGUUGUGAAAGUUUGCGGCUCAACCGUAAAAUUGCAGUUGAAACUGGCAGUCUUGAGUACAGGAGAGGUGGGCGGAAUUCGUGGUGUAGCGGUGAAAUGCUUAGAUAUCACGAAGAACUCCGAUUGCGAAGGCAGCUCACUGGACUGCAACUGACACUGAGGCUCGAAAGUGUGGGUAUCAAACAGGAUUAGAUACCCCUGUAGUC
This 460-nucleotide ribosomal RNA is filed under the name uncultured bacterium. RNAcentral's name for it is "partial 16S ribosomal RNA". It matches the Rfam family "Bacterial small subunit ribosomal RNA", at positions 338 to 795 of the family's 1533-position model. The record is from RNAcentral.